UCACAAUGAUGAAUUGUCCAAACAUUCGCAGUUUCCACCAGAAUUUAACUUGUGUUGGCAUAGGUACCUUCCUUCCUUGGAUGUCUGAGUGA
This is a small nucleolar RNA of Dasypus novemcinctus (nine-banded armadillo), 92 nucleotides long. Its record names the gene SNORD14. It matches the Rfam family "Small nucleolar RNA SNORD14". From Rfam's summary of the family: U14 small nucleolar RNA (U14 snoRNA) is required for early cleavages of eukaryotic precursor rRNAs. In yeasts, this molecule possess a stem-loop region (known as the Y-domain) which is essential for function. A similar structure, but with a different consensus sequence, is found in plants, but is absent in vertebrates. NCBI's taxonomy places the organism in Eukaryota, Metazoa, Chordata, Mammalia, Cingulata, Dasypodidae. The record is from Ensembl.